AACGAACGCUGGCGGCAUGCCUAACACAUGCAAGUCGAACGAGACAUUCGGGUUUACUGGCGCACGGGUGCGUAACGCGUGGGAACCUGCCCAUAGGUUUGGCUUAACUCCCCGAAUGGGGUGCUAAUACCGGAUAUUGUAUUCCAACCAAAGAUUUAUCGCCUUUGGAUGGGCCGGCGUUGGAUUAGCUAGUGGGUAGGGUAAAAGCCUACCAGGGGGACGAUCCAUAGCUGGUCAGAGAGGCUGAGCAGCGACACUGGCGCUGGGACACGGUCGAGAAUAUUACGGGAUGGAGCAGUGGGUAAUAUAGGACAAUGGGGGAAAGCAUGAAGCAGCUAGGCCGCGAAAGUGAUGAAAGUUUUGGGGUAGUAAAGCACUUUUACACGGGACGAUAAUGACGGUACCGGGAGAAUAAGCACCGGCUAACUCCGUG
Molecule: ribosomal RNA, 433 nt
Filed under: uncultured bacterium
Lineage: Bacteria
Description: partial 16S ribosomal RNA
Rfam family: Bacterial small subunit ribosomal RNA
Source: RNAcentral